This 406-nucleotide unclassified non-coding RNA is filed under the name Ampullaceana balthica. RNAcentral describes it as "sequence contains ITS1, 5.8S rRNA gene, ITS2". The record is from RNAcentral. Lineage: Eukaryota; Metazoa; Mollusca; Gastropoda; Lymnaeidae.
ACGCGCUCUGGACCUUCGCGGCCGUAAAAUCCGGCGCUCACCGAAUCGCUCGCUCGGCGGUUUGCGUGUUGCGCCCGGUGGCCCCGUGGUCUUAAGCACAAGCCGCGCCGUUGUCCGUGUUCGUCUCGGGACGUCCGCGACGCCGCCUUGCUCUCGGCGGCGGCCAAAUUUCCUCUCCGUCACCGCUAUGCGGGACCCGGCUCGCUCUCGCUAACGGGCCCGCUUAUAACCAGCUUCAGGGUGACGGGCGGAGGAGAGAAGCUUACGCUGACGCUCGAUCGACGAGUCGGCGCCCGUACGAAAAAAAUUGGAAAAAAAAUAACCGUGCGUUGCGCGUUAUUUUUUUUUUUCCUUUCUUUCCGACCUCAGAUCGGACGAGAUUACCCCCUGAAUUUAAGCAUAGAAA